UGUUUCGAAUGUUUGAAACAG
This 21-nucleotide non-coding RNA is filed under the name Caenorhabditis elegans. Lineage: Eukaryota; Metazoa; Nematoda; Chromadorea; Rhabditida; Rhabditidae. The record is from RNAcentral.